CGUCGGCGGAUUAUUAAAAAUACAGUAAAAGGCUGAGGUUGACCCUCUUCAAUCUGUAUUCACUGAUAAUCUGAGUUUUGAGGGCGGUUUAUUGAAUUCUUGAAGUAAGGGUGAAAUUGUUGAUAUUGGAAGACAUUCGAUAGCGAAAGCAAGAACCGAUUCAGAUCUGACGCUAGGUACUAAAGUAUGGGGAUAAAGAGGAUUAGAGACCUCGUAGUCCAUACCUUAAACAAUGAGUGUUCAACAUCUUUUGGUUGUGACCAUCUGGGGUUUAAAGCUAACGCGCAAAACACCGCCUGGGGAAUGUGGCCGCAAGGUUAAACUCAAAGGAAUUGACGGAGACUUAUACAAGG
RNAcentral lists this ribosomal RNA (353 nucleotides) under Badhamia sp. RNAcentral describes it as "SSU rRNA". It matches the Rfam family "Bacterial small subunit ribosomal RNA", at positions 570 to 930 of the family's 1533-position model. Lineage: Eukaryota; Evosea; Eumycetozoa; Physariida; Physaraceae. The record is from RNAcentral.